UACGUAGGGGGCAAGCGUUGUCCGGAUUUAUUGGGCGUAAAGAGCGUGUAGGCGGCCAGAUAGGUCAGCUGUGAAAACUCGAGGCUCAACCUCGAGAUGUCGGCUGAAACCAUCUGGCUAGAGUCCGGAAGAGGAGAAUGGAAUUCCCGGUGUAGCGGUGAAAUGCGUAGAUAUCUGGAGGAACACCGGUGGCGAAGGCGGCAUCCUGGACCGGUAUUGACGCUGAGGCGCGAAAGCCAGGGGAGCAAACGGG
This 253-nucleotide ribosomal RNA is filed under the name uncultured bacterium. Its description in RNAcentral is "partial 16S ribosomal RNA". It matches the Rfam family "Bacterial small subunit ribosomal RNA", at positions 524 to 776 of the family's 1533-position model. The record is from RNAcentral.